UCCUGUGUGGCUCAGUUGGUAGAGCAUUGGUCUUGCAACGCCAGGGUUAUGGGUUUGAUUCCCACAGAAGAC
Molecule: transfer RNA, 72 nt
Filed under: Salmo salar (Atlantic salmon)
Lineage: Eukaryota; Metazoa; Chordata; Actinopteri; Salmoniformes; Salmonidae
Also listed under: 1 other name
Rfam family: tRNA
About the family: Transfer RNA (tRNA) molecules are approximately 80 nucleotides in length.
Source: Rfam by way of RNAcentral